UACGGGAGGCAGCAGGGGGAAUAUUGCACAAUGGGCGCAAGCCUGAUGCAGCCAUGCCGCGUGUAUGAAAAAGGCCUUCGGGUUGUAAAGUACUUUCAGUCGUGAGGAAGGUGUUAAGGUUAAUAACCUUAGCAAUUGACGUUAGCGACAGAAGAAGCACCGGCUAACUCCGUGCCAGCAGCCGCGGUAAUACGGAGGGUGCGAGCGUUAAUCGGAAUUACUGGGCGUAAAGGGCACGCAGGCGGUUAAUUAAGUUGGAUGUGAAAUCCCCGGGCUUAACCUGGGAAUGGCAUUCAAGACUGGUUAGCUAGAGUCUUGUAGAGGGGGUAGAAUUCCAUGUGUAGCGGUGAAAUGCGUAGAGAUGUGGAGGAAUACCGGUGGCGAAAGGCGGCCCCUGGACAAAGACUGACGCUCAUGUGCGAAAGCGUGGGGAGCAAACAGGGAUUAGAUACC
This 453-nucleotide ribosomal RNA is filed under the name uncultured bacterium. RNAcentral's name for it is "bacterial SSU rRNA". It matches the Rfam family "Bacterial small subunit ribosomal RNA", at positions 340 to 786 of the family's 1533-position model. The record is from RNAcentral.